UCUCCAGCAACGUCGAGUUUAAAGCCAAACUUCAGCCAUGAAGAUUCUUUACCUGCUCUUUGUUGUCUUUUUCCUGGUACUGCAAAGCUCUCCAGGACUGGCCCAGUAUAUCAAUUCCGUCACUACUUGUAUACAUUUAGGGGGCAGGUGCCUCCCUAUAUGUUACGGCCCUUGGAGAAAGAUUGGAAACUGCAGGUUUAGGCGGAGUUGCUGCAGAAGAAGGUAAAGAGAGUGAGUGAUGGCAGAAGAUACUAUCAAUGCAGGAUUGCAGAGAAUCUGGCAGACAGCACCUUGCUUCUAAAAUCCUUGGAUGCUUUUCAUCUGGGCUGCAAAGAAUCUCACAAGCUGGAAACAAUCCACAAGGGAGCCCUUGUGUCACCUCUAAUAGCU
Molecule: long non-coding RNA, 390 nt
Organism: Mauremys reevesii (Reeves's turtle)
Lineage: Eukaryota; Metazoa; Chordata; Testudines; Geoemydidae
Exons: 3
Source: RefSeq, a predicted model, not a curated record